ACCCUUGCCUCCAGGCGUCGAGCGGCGGACGGGUGAGUAAUGCAUAGGAAUCUGCCCGGUAGUGGGGGAUAACCUGGGGAAACCCAGGCUAAUACCGCAUACGUCCUACGGGAGAAAGCAGGGGAUCCGUGUUCUUCGGAACGGGGACCUUGCGCUAUCGGAUGAGCCUAUGUCGGAUUAGCUUGCUGGUGAGGUAAUGGCUCACCAAGGCGACGAUCCGUAGCUGGUCUGAGAGGAUGAUCAGCCACAUCGGGACUGAGACACGGCCCGAACUCCUACGGGAGGCAGCAGUGGGGAAUAUUGGACAAUGGGCGAAAGCCUGAUCCAGCCAUGCCGCGUGUGUGAAGAAGGCUUUCGGGUUGUAAAGCACUUUCAGUGAGGAAGAACGCCUCGGGGCCAAUACCCCCGAGGAAGGACAUCACUCACAGAAGAAGCACCGGCUAACUCCGUGCCAGCAGCCGCGGUAAUACGGAGGGUGCAAGCGUUAAUCGGAAUUACUGGCCGUAGAGCGCGCGUAGGUGGCCUGAUAAGCCGGUUGUGAAAGCCCCGGGCUCAACCUGGGAACGGCAUCCGGAACUGUCAGGCUAGAGUGCAGGAGAGGAAGGUAGAAUUCCCGGUGUAGCGGUGAAAUGCGUACAGAUCGGGAGGAAUACCAUUGGCUAAGGCUGCCUUCUGGACUGACACUGACACUGAGGUGCGAA
This 701-nucleotide ribosomal RNA is filed under the name uncultured bacterium. RNAcentral describes it as "bacterial SSU rRNA". It matches the Rfam family "Bacterial small subunit ribosomal RNA", at positions 72 to 757 of the family's 1533-position model. The record is from RNAcentral.